Molecule: long non-coding RNA, 1123 nt
Organism: Folsomia candida
Lineage: Eukaryota; Metazoa; Arthropoda; Collembola; Entomobryomorpha; Isotomidae
Exons: 2
Source: RefSeq, a predicted model, not a curated record
AUAAUCUAAAGUGGCAAGCAAACUCAACAUCAACUCAUUGAACAAUUAUUUCUGCAAGUGUUAGUUAUACAAAUGCAAUUAUAUUUACCUGGGCCGAUAAACUUAUUCGAAUAAAUAAAUUCCAUCAUGGAAUUUCCAUGUGUAUCAAGAAACACAAUAUUUUAAGAAUUAAUUUAAUUUUUUGAUUAAUUUAGUUUUCACAAUAUUAAAUUUAACUAUUUACCAUCAAAACAAUGGAGUCUGGUGACAAAUCGAGCUUAACCCCAGAAAUGGACUAUUACCUGGACAUAUUGCUGUCAUGCUGCUGCUUUCAUUGCUAAUUAAGUACUUUGAAAAUUUCGAGUGGGUGGCAUUCCUGGAAAAUUCUCCGGCAAUACCAAUGAUCGACAAUGCUGUCCCAUAUCCAAGCACGGGUCAAUUUUGCGAAACACAGGGUCAACUGGUUUUCUAAAUUUAGGAUGAAAGCUCAUCUGCCAAUGGACGGCAUAGAAUUUAAAUAGUUUUUGACGUUUCCUAUAUCAGAAUUUCAGAAAUUGUCGUGUUAAUUAUUUCUCGCAAAUUGUUUUAAUAAUUUUUCACUCGUGAGUAGUUCUACGACUUUUGGUAUGUAAGAAAUAUUUUUGGUUGUUGGUAUUCGGAUAUUAGCAUUUAUGUUGUAAAAAUUGGUGAUGAAGGUUAGACGUCAAAAACAUGCAACGUUGAUAUUUAUUUUAUCUGCGUCGUUGUAACUUUCAGAUGGCUUGAUGAGUUUUGGAUUUCAUCAGAAAUUAGUGAAACAAGUAAUAUUUGAAAUCUCUAGUACGAGAAGUUUACUUUAGUAGAUAAGAACAAUAUGCAUUUACUAAUUUAUAUACAUAUGCACGAACAUAUUGCGUAUAUUUUCUUACUUCGUAGUAAAAAUUUAACAUAUCUUAAGCCUGGACUUAUUUAUUUUUGUGUUAAACAAUUUGUUAUAUUACACAGUUUUUCUGAUACCGAUUCAUAAUAAAUUUAAUCAAAGGGAAAUAAAGCUUCAAGUUUUUAUCUUUUACUGUUCAAUUUUUUAAAUAAUUAUGGUUACUUGAAAUAUGACCUUGUUAUGAAAUAUGACGGGAAUAAAGUGUUUCUUUUUGUGCGAACGAAA